GCCGCUGUAGCUCAGUGGUAGAGCGCACCCUUGGUAAGGGUGAGGUCACGGGUUCAAAUCCCGUCAGCGGCU
This 72-nucleotide transfer RNA is filed under the name Phycisphaeraceae bacterium. RNAcentral's name for it is "tRNA-Thr". It matches the Rfam family "tRNA". Rfam says of the family: Transfer RNA (tRNA) molecules are approximately 80 nucleotides in length. The record is from RNAcentral. Lineage: Bacteria; Pseudomonadati; Planctomycetota; Phycisphaerae; Phycisphaerales; Phycisphaeraceae. RNAcentral also lists the same sequence under 3 other names.